Molecule: ribosomal RNA, 915 nt
Filed under: uncultured archaeon
Lineage: Archaea
Description: bacterial SSU rRNA
Rfam family: Archaeal small subunit ribosomal RNA
Source: RNAcentral
UUCCGGUUGAUCCCGCCGGACCUGACUGCUAUCGGAUUGAUACUAAGCCAUGCGAGUCUUUGUAGUAAUACAAGGCAGACGGCUCAGUAACACGUAGUCAACCUACUCUAUGGACAAGAAUAAUCUCGGGAAACUGGGCAUAAUUCUUGAUAGAUCAUAAUGCCUGGAAUGGUUUAUGGUUAAUAUGAUUCGUCGCCAUAGGAUGGGACUGCGGCCUAUCAGCUUGUUGGUGAGGUAAUGGCCCACCAAGGCGAUUACAGGUACGGGCUCUGAGAGGAGAAGCCCGGAGAUGGGUACUGAGACACGGACCCAGGCCCUAUGGGGCGCAGCAGGCGAGAAAACUUUGCAAUGUGCGAAAGCACGACAAGGUUAAUCCGAGUGAUUUCUGCUAAAGAAAUCUUUUGCCAGUCAUAAAACCACUGGUGAAUAAGGGGUGGGCAAGUUCUGGUGUCAGCCGCCGCGGUAAAACCAGCACCUCAAGUGGUCAGGAUGAUUAUUGGGCCUAAAGCAUCCGUAGCCGGCUUUGUUAGUUUUCGGUUAAAUCCAUGUGCUCAACGCAUGGGCUGCCGAAAAUACUGCAUAGCUAGGGAGUGGGAGAGGUAGACGGUACUCAGUAGGAAGGGGUAAAAUCCUUUGAUCUAUUGAUGACCACCUGUGGCGAAGGCGGUCUACCAGAACACGUUCGACGGUGAGGGAUGAAAGCUGGGGGAGCAAACCGGAUUAGAUACCCGGGUAGUCCCAGCUGUAAACGAUGCAGACUCGAUGAUGCAUUGGCAUAAUAGCCAGUGCAGUGUCGCAGGGAAGCCGUUAAGUCUGCCGCCUGGGAAGUACGUACGCAAGUAUGAAACUUAAAGGAAUUGGCGGGGGAGCACCACAAGGGGUGAAGCCUGCGGUUCAAUUGGAUUCAACGCCGGA